GUGUCAGCCGCCGCGGUAAUACAGAGGUGCCAAGCGUUAGGCGGAAUCACUGGGCUUAAAGCGCGUGUAGGUGGGUCGUUAAGUGUCCGCGUGAAAUCCCACGGCUCAACCGUGGAACUGCCGGGCAUACUGGCGAUCUUGAGGCAUUCAGGGGCGAGCGGAACAAGUGGUGGAGCGGUGAAAUGCGUAGAUAUCACUUGGAACGCCAAUGGUGAAAACAGCUCGCUGGGAAUGAUCUGACACUGAGACGCGAAAGCCAGGGGAGCGAACGGGAUUAGAAACCCGUGUAGUCC
RNAcentral lists this ribosomal RNA (293 nucleotides) under uncultured bacterium. Its description in RNAcentral is "partial 16S ribosomal RNA". It matches the Rfam family "Bacterial small subunit ribosomal RNA", at positions 505 to 796 of the family's 1533-position model. The record is from RNAcentral.